AAAUUAUAUAGUUUAAAAAAAACCCUACAUUUUCACUGUAGAAAUAAAAUUUUAAUUUUUAUAGUUA
This 67-nucleotide transfer RNA is filed under the name Brillia bifasciata. Its description in RNAcentral is "tRNA-Glu". It matches the Rfam family "tRNA". Rfam says of the family: Transfer RNA (tRNA) molecules are approximately 80 nucleotides in length. The record is from RNAcentral. Lineage: Eukaryota; Metazoa; Arthropoda; Insecta; Diptera; Chironomidae.